AGCUCCGCUCUGUCCUGCGCCCGCCCCCCGCUACCUCUUCGGCCAAUAGGACCGUGGCCAGCCGCCACCGCGAGGACUGAUUGGUCUAAAGGCACGUCAAUCAUAAGCGCGGAGGCCACGCCCACGCCUCACGCUGUGGGGCAGGGGCCGGCGGCGCUGCCGGGUUCCUUUGGAAUUGGAAGGAAAUUCACCAAUGUGCGGCUGCCAAAGGGAUUUUUCGGCUCUAAUCCCAUUGUUAAGAUGCCGGAGCUUUCUAAAACUGCUGUUGUUCAACAGUUGUAACAGAGGAAGUUACAGGUUCGGCACCGUGAAAGCUGCACGUCCUUACGGAGUUUCUGAGGCAUGUACCUCGGGAACCUUUUCCACUCAUCCUUCUGCUGUCAUGCCUGGUGUAAAUAUCAGAGCACAGAAAAAGCAUGGAAAGAACAACAAAGAAUAACAAGGCAGAGGAUUGAGGGUCACCAGAUCUAAUGGAAACCAUGGAAAACACUGAAAUACAUCUUCAGAAGAGGUGGGCUUUAGGGGAUCAUUGAGGGGACAACAAGAAUGACUUCAGUGAUUUCGGAGCAGUUGCCUUCAACCUUUGAGUGAUGAUUUCUAAAUUUCAUUGGGAAUAUGGGAUCAUGGCACUGACUGGAAAAUAAAAUCAUCAUAGGGAGUUUAUGGGGAAAAAUCAACAGCAACAAACACAGCAACCCGUGGAAUGGCAACAAACCAGGUGAAUUUGUGGCAACCACAGCAAAUAUGGAUGCUGGAAAACAAGGAAAGGCAAACAAGUGGAUUUAUGAGGUUUCUUUGCAGAUAGGCAAAGUUUUCUGGUGUUUAGUGGAAAGUGUGAAAAAACUCUUGAGUUCACCAGAGAAAUCAGAGAUAAGAAGAUUAGGGGUCAUGAAGUAAAAAGGUAUUUAUAGGUAGAGCUACUGCCCCACCUUCUCCAGAAUGAACAAUCCUGGCCUCUCAGUCUCUCAAAUGACAGGAAGUCCAGUCCCUUAAUCAUCUUUGUGUCCCGUUGAUGGACUAACUCCAGUUUGUCUGCACCUCUUUUAUACUGGAAAACCCAGAGCUGGACUCUGAUUCCAUCUGAAUCUCAUCAGUGCUGAGCAGAGCAGAGGAUCAUCUCCUCCACCUGCUGGCAGUGUUUUUCCUGGGAUGCUGCUGGCUUUCAUUGCCACAGGGAUGUAUUUCCAGCUCACAUCCAACUUGUUUUCCAACAGGUCUUUUUAUCCAAAGUUGUUUUCCACUUAGAUUGAAAGGAGCAAAAAAAAUAAAUCAAUUUGUCAAUGAGGAUGUUGCAGGAGUGAGUGUCAAAAGCCUUGCUGUGGUGAAGAUAAUAUCCACUGCCCUUCCCUAAUCCAUCAUACCACUGAUAUCAUCAUGGAAGGCAUCAUUUCCCCUUCCUAAAUAGCUGGAGAAUGGAUUAAGAGCAGCCUGGAAAAGACUUGGUGGUGUUCGCUGAUGAGAAGCUCAGCAAGACCCAGCAACACACACUUGCAAUCCAGAAAGACAACUGUAUCCUGCAUCAAGUACUGGGAAUUUAUUCUUCCCUGUGGGGGUGCUGACACACAGGCACAGGUUGUCCAGACAUGUUGUGGAAUCCCCAUCCCUGGAAGGCUUCAAAGGCCAGGCUGGAUAGGGCUUGGAGCAACCUGGUCU
Long non-coding RNA from Vidua chalybeata, 1653 nucleotides. RefSeq lists it as uncharacterized. The record is from RefSeq and is a predicted model, not a curated record. NCBI's taxonomy places the organism in Eukaryota, Metazoa, Chordata, Aves, Passeriformes, Viduidae. The transcript is spliced from 7 exons.